This 900-nucleotide ribosomal RNA is filed under the name uncultured bacterium. Its description in RNAcentral is "bacterial SSU rRNA". It matches the Rfam family "Bacterial small subunit ribosomal RNA", at positions 337 to 1255 of the family's 1533-position model. The record is from RNAcentral.
UCCUACGGGAGGCAGCAGUGGGGAAUCUUGCACAAUGGGGGAAACCCUGAUGCAGCGACGCCGCGUGAGCGAUGAAGCCCUUCGGGGUGUAAAGCUCUUUCGUCAGGGAAGAUUAUGACGGUACCUGGAGAAGCAGCUGCGGCUAACUACGUGCCAGCAGCCGCGGUAAUACGUAGGCAGCAAGCGUUGUUCGGAGUUACUGGGCGUAAAGGGUGUGUAGGCGGUUCUUUAAGUUUGGUGUGAAAUCUCCCGGCUCAACCGGGAGGGUGCGCCGAAUACUGAGGGACUAGAGUGUGGGAGAGGAAAGUGGAAUUCCUGGUGUAGCGGUGAAAUGCGUAGAUAUCAGGAGGAACACCGGUGGUGUAGACGGCUUUCUGGACCAUAACUGACGCUGAGACACGAAAGCGUGGGUAGCAAACAGGAUUAGAUACCCUGGUAGUCCACGCCCUAAACGAUGCAUAUUUGGUGUGGGUCAUUCAGUUGAUCCGUGCCGGAGCUAACGCGUUAAAUAUGCCGCCUGGGGAGUACAGUCGCAAGGCUGAAACUCAAAGGAAUUGACGGGGGCCCGCACAAGCGGUGGAGCAUGUGGUUCAAUUCGACGCAACGCGAAGAACCUUACCUGGGCUCGAACGGCUUCUCAACGUCGGUAGAAAUACUGAUACCCCGCAAGGGGGUGGAGUCGAGGUGCUGCAUGGCUGUCGUCAGCUCGUGUCGUGAGAUGUUGGGUUAAGUCCCGCAACGAGCGCAACCCCCGUCCUGUGUUGCCAUCAUUCAGUUGGGAACUCGCAGGAGACCGCCAGCGAUAAGCUGGAGGAAGGUGGGGAUGACGUCAAGUCCUCAUGGCCUUUAUGUCCAGGGCUACACACGUGCUACAAUGGACGGUACAAACCGCAGCAAACC